RNAcentral lists this ribosomal RNA (253 nucleotides) under uncultured bacterium. RNAcentral describes it as "partial 16S ribosomal RNA". It matches the Rfam family "Bacterial small subunit ribosomal RNA", at positions 524 to 776 of the family's 1533-position model. The record is from RNAcentral.
UACGGAGGGUGCGAGCGUUAAUCGGAAUACCUGGGCGUCAAGUGCACGCAGGCGGGCUUUUAAGCGAGGUGUGAAAUCCCCGGGCUUAACCUGGGAAUAGCAUUUCAGACUGGGAGUCUAGAGUCCUUUAGGGAGGGGUAGAAUUCCACGUGUAGCGGUGAAAUGCGUAGAGAUGUGGAGGAAUACCGAAGGCGAAGGCAGCCCCUUGGGAAUGUACUGACGCUCAUGUGCGAAAGCGUGGGGAGCAAACAGG